RNAcentral lists this ribosomal RNA (155 nucleotides) under Lepraria santosii. RNAcentral describes it as "5.8S ribosomal RNA". It matches the Rfam family "5.8S ribosomal RNA". From Rfam's summary of the family: 5.8S ribosomal RNA (5.8S rRNA) is a component of the large subunit of the eukaryotic ribosome. It is transcribed by RNA polymerase I as part of the 45S precursor that also contains 18S and 28S rRNA. Functionally, it is thought that 5.8S rRNA may be involved in ribosome translocation. Lineage: Eukaryota; Fungi; Ascomycota; Lecanoromycetes; Lecanorales; Stereocaulaceae. The record is from RNAcentral.
CAACAACGGAUCUCUUGGUUCUGGCAUCGAUGAAGAACGCAGCGAAAUGCGAUAAGUAAUGUGAAUUGCAGAAUUCAGUGAAUCAUCGAAUCUUUGAACGCACAUUGCGCCCCUCGGAUUUCCGGGGGGCAUSCCUGUUCGAGCGUCAUUGCACC